GCGGGUAUUGUAUAAUGGCUAUUAUGUCACCCUUCCAAGGUGAAGAUGCGGGUUCGAUCCCCGCUACCCGCUCCA
RNAcentral lists this transfer RNA (75 nucleotides) under bacterium. Its description in RNAcentral is "tRNA-Gly". It matches the Rfam family "tRNA". Rfam says of the family: Transfer RNA (tRNA) molecules are approximately 80 nucleotides in length. Their secondary structure includes four short double-helical elements and three loops (D, anti-codon, and T loops). The record is from RNAcentral. RNAcentral also lists the same sequence under 1 other name.